This 116-nucleotide ribosomal RNA is filed under the name Oryzias javanicus (javanese ricefish). The record is from RNAcentral. Lineage: Eukaryota; Metazoa; Chordata; Actinopteri; Beloniformes; Adrianichthyidae.
GCUUACAGCCACCCACCCUGAACGCCCGAACUCGUCCGAUCUCGGAAGCUAAGCAGGGCCGGGCCUGGUUAGUACUUGGAUGGGGGACCGCCUGGGAAUACCAGGUGCUGUAUGUU